GGACCUGACUGCUAUCGGAUUGAUACUAAGCCAUGCGAGUCAUUGUAGCAAUACAAGGCAUACGGCUCAGUAACGCGUAGUCAACCUAACCUAUGGACGGGAAUAACCUCGGGAAACUGAGAAUAAUGCCCGAUAGAACAUUAUGCCUGGAAUGGUUUAUGUUCCAAAUGAUUUAUCGCCGUAGGAUGGGACUGCGGCCUAUCAGUUUGUUGGUGAGGUAAUGGCCCACCAAGACUAUUACAGGUACGGGCUCUGAGAGGAGUAGCCCGGAGAUGGGUACUGAGACACGGACCCAGGCCCUAUGGGGCGCAGCAGGCGAGAAAACUUUGCGAAUGUGCGAAAGCACGACAAGGUUAAUCCGAGUGGUUUCUGCUAAAGAAACCUUUUGUCGGUCCUAGAAACGCUGUAUGAGAUAAGGGGUGGGCAAGUUCUGGUGU
This 437-nucleotide ribosomal RNA is filed under the name uncultured archaeon. Its description in RNAcentral is "bacterial SSU rRNA". It matches the Rfam family "Archaeal small subunit ribosomal RNA", at positions 19 to 458 of the family's 1478-position model. The record is from RNAcentral.